Molecule: non-coding RNA, 54 nt
Organism: Salmo salar (Atlantic salmon)
Lineage: Eukaryota; Metazoa; Chordata; Actinopteri; Salmoniformes; Salmonidae
Source: Rfam
UUACCUGCUGCAUGUAAGUCGCUCUGGAUAAGAGCGUCUGCUAAAUGAUUGAAA